Molecule: ribosomal RNA, 601 nt
Filed under: uncultured bacterium
Lineage: Bacteria
Description: bacterial SSU rRNA
Rfam family: Bacterial small subunit ribosomal RNA
Source: RNAcentral
UACUGGGCUUUAACUGACGCUGAGGCUCGAAAGCGUGGGGAGCAAACAGGAUUAGAUACCCUGGUAGUCCACGCCGUAAACGAUGAUUACUAGGUGUGGGGGGAUUGACCCCUUCCGUGCCGCAGUUAACACAAUAAGUAAUCCACCUGGGGAGUACGGUCGCAAGACUGAAACUCAAAGGAAUUGACGGGGGCCCGCACAAGCAGUGGAGUAUGUGGAUUAAUUCGAAGCAACGCGAAGAACCUUACCAGGUCUUGACAUCGUACGCAUAGCAUAGAGAUAUGUGAAAUCCCUUCGGGGACGUAUAGACAGGUGGUGCAUGGUUGUCGUCAGCUCGUGUCGUGAGAUGUUGGGUUAAGUCCCGCAACGAGCGCAACCCUUACUGUUAGUUGCUACGCAAGAGCACUCUAGCAGGACUGCCGUUGACAAAACGGAGGAAGGUGGGGAUGACGUCAAAUCAUCAUGCCCCUUAUGACCUGGGCCUCACACGUACUACAAUGGCUGUUAACAGAGGGAAGCGAAACCGCGAGGUGGAGCAAAUCCCCAAAAGCAGUCUUAGUUCGGAUUGUAGGCUGCAACCCGCCUACAUGAAGUCGGAAUU